CCCAGAGUCCAGGGUCAUUUUAAAAUUGUGAUUACAAAGAUCAUGGGAACAUUCUAAAAUAUUAAAAAUCAUGGCGAUGUAACUGUACUGCGCUCAUUUAUAUCAAAUCUCAGUCUGUCUGUGGAGACAAAUAAGUUUUUAAUUGUUAAAUCUCUCAAUUUCAAAGAUUGGUACCUGACAUAGAAGUGGAAACCCUCCCCAUGGAAAGAAGUGCGUCGGAACUCGUAAGGUAUUUUGGUACAAACUCAUUUUACAGUAGGCCUAAUUAAAGUUUAUGUUCCAUGUGUUGCUUGUGCAUUUACGUCAGUUCAAUUCACCCUUUGUAAUUUAGAUUAUUAUUAUUUUUUUCGAUCCUAAGCAUUUUAUGCCAAUAUUAAUAACUUUUCACUUAGUUUGAAUUCUAUGCGAUUAAAAAAAAAAAAAAUGCUGCUGCUGAUGUCCUUGUCCUGAAGUAAAUCUGAGGCACUGGAUGAGAUGCGUCAGUCACUCACACAAACAAACAGCCUCGCUGUCAUACGCAAGACGCUUCUGUAUCACGGUGACUAAGCGUUUUAUCAAAACCGAGUGACUUUACCGGUCACGAUAAUUCGGUGAUCUCAUCUGACCUAAAUGCGCUCGGUAUUGCUGAGUGAUUGCAACAUGCUGACUCACCUUCAUCAGUUCAGACAGCGAACGCCAGAUGGCGCUGCGAGCGCGCAGGAAGCUUCCAUCCCUCAUCACUUCCAGGAACACGGCCGCUUUUCCUGCCCAAAAUAGCAGGAGGGGAAUCUGUUCUCCCGGGAGGCGGCCUAAAGGGACGGAGGUCUAAGGCAUGAAUCCAAUGAGAAAGCAAGAUGGAUUUGGAACGACAUGAGGCUGUAGGAACAAGCUGAAGAAGUUGAGAAAUACAUGCUGCCUGUUUCCCACUGGAAUGAAAUCUCAUGUGAUAAGAAAUUAUAAAGAAACCGUAAUCUUUACGCAAAACAAUGAAAAGCCCCCUCCGUUGGAGAGAGAGAGAGAGAGGGGGAUGGAAUGAGAAAGAGAGCGAGUGAAACCGAGUGAGUCAUGAGUGCAGCUUUGAACAACAAGGGGAAAUCCUCCUAUUGAGGGGCAUGCGCUGUGGAAACACUGCAUCACUCAUAGAGGACAUUCCUGAGAUGACAGACAUGCACACCUACAGGAGCUCAGGGGUGAAGCCCCCCCCCCCAUGGCGACGGAAAUGGCCCGAGGAAAGGCCUCAUGCUGGAGGGAGAGGGGCCCGGCAGCUCCCUCAACAAUGGAAGUUCUUGGAAGAUUCUAGGAAGGAUCAGACCUGAGGUGAUUCCCUGUGUUUAUGGAGGGCUUUGGUCUGAAGAUGAUCUUUUGAAAUGCUCUGGAAUCCUUGUCAAGAUGUUUUCUUGCUUCUUACUGAACAGCCUCUGGACACAAGCGAAACAUGCACUGACGUGUGUGUGUGUGUGUGUGUGUUCAACCCUCCUACAAAUGUUGCAACUUUUGAUCUUAACAUACACAACAUCAAAUGUGUGAAAUUUAAUGGCUGAACAUAAAGAUUAAAAACACAUAGUUUCUAUGAAAUGUGAUCUGUUUCAGCCAUAAGAAAUAUCGAGUUGUGUGAUUGAAACUAGACUUAAGCAUGAAACUAACUGGGAGCGCUUUCUUUUUCCAGAUGUUGUCUUUUCACAAUGGUCUCGCUUUGGUCGCUUUAGCACCUCUCCGUCUACAACUUCAGAACGGUUCAGGGGCCGGUUGUCUAGAUGACAGCACAUUUACAUGUUUAAAGACUGAAUGCAGACUUCACAAUGCAGAUUGUCAGGAGACAAACCUCGCUUUCAUUCUCUCCAAAGCAUCCAUGACCCAACAGGUUUAAGCACAAAAGAUGAAAGAAGACUAAGUAAUGGAGGUCUAAAACCCGUUCUGACACAUGUUGCAAAACCGUCAGUGCUUCAGCUAAGACUUGCUUGGUGUUCUGAGGGAAAAUGAUAAAGGUCACUUAAAGUCCAAUUUUUUUAUUACAAUUUAAAUGUAUUAAAUUUUUAGUAUUACUUUUUUCCUGUCAUGGCAUAACUGAAUUUUCAUCACCAUUACUCCAGUCUUCAGUGUCACAUGAUCCUUCAGAAAUCAUUCUGAUAUGCUGAUUUGGCGCUCAAGAAAUUCAUUUCCUAUCAUUAUCAGUGCUUAAAACAGUUGAGUUGCUGAUUCAUUUUUGCCUGAAAAUUCAAAAUAACAGCAUUUAUUUGAAAUUGAAAUCUUUUAUAUUGUCAAUUUUUUAUAAAUGUUUGCUGAAUAAAAGCAUUAACUACUUUAAGAAAAUUAAACAUUUAAUUGAUUUCUUCAUUUCUAUAUAUCGAUACAUAUCUAUCUGUCUAUAUAUAUAUAUAUCUUUUUAAGGCACCAUUUAUCAAAUACAAUAAUGUAUUUUAGACAUUUCAUUAAACAUUACAUGAAUCAUACGACUGUGCUACUCUUCAAGAGCCAGUUUGGGCAGUAAGUCAAAUAUUUACCCACAGUGCCUCUGGCAUCGAGAGUUUUUGAAUACUUGUGUGAAUUUGACUUUCAAAUAUUCAUUCGGAUAAUUGUAAAUUAUGUAAUGAGAAAUGACAGGUCCUCAUGACCAUAACACCUUUGAGGUAUGGGAAAAGGAAGGAAGAAAUACAUUGAACCAAAUGAACCAUUUUUACCAGUCACACUAAAAUAUAUGAUUUAUGCUUCUUAAUUCAGUUCACUAUAAAACAAGGCUCAUGCAUAUAAGUUCAUUUACGGGAUUCAUAUGGGGCAAGUUGCUCAGUGCUUCAGUUUGGUAACUCCUACAGUUUUAUUGACCCGCUGUAAUCAGGCCCUUUAGACUUUAAACCUGCCACCCCCUCACAUUGACCCGAAUUCCAUCACUCAAACAUUCCUGCUAUUCUUUAAAGGUUUUAGUCUUGUGCAACUCUGUGUGUGCCAACAAUUUCACCUCUGAAGAAACCACACCUUAAUCUUUAAGUUGUUGUUCUGAUGUGAUUUUCUGCAUGCUGCCAGUAAAAAGAUGCAA
Long non-coding RNA from Onychostoma macrolepis, 3010 nucleotides. RefSeq lists it as uncharacterized. The record is from RefSeq and is a predicted model, not a curated record. The transcript is spliced from 6 exons. Lineage: Eukaryota; Metazoa; Chordata; Actinopteri; Cypriniformes; Cyprinidae.